AAUUUUGGACAAUGGGGGAACCCUUGACCAAGAAAUGCCGGGUGAAGGUGGAAGGCUUCCGGUUUGUAACUUCUUUUUUUCCGGACGGAAAGGCUUGGGGUAAAACCCCGGGGUCCUUACCGUAACGGAAUGAUAAGCACCGGGUAACUACGUUCCAACAACCGCGGUAAUACGUAGGGUGCAAGCGUUAAUCGGAAUUACUGGGCGUAAAGCGUGCGCAGGCGGUUUUGUAAGACAGUGGUGAAAUCCCCGGGCUCAACCUGGGAACUGCCAUUGUGACUGCAAGGCUGGAGUGCGGCAGAGGGGGAUGGAAUUCCGCGUGUAGCAGUGAAAUGCGUAGAUAUGCGGAGGAACACCGAUGGCGAAGGCAAUCCCCUGGGCCUGCACUGACGCUCAUGCACGAAAGCGUGGGGAGCAAACAGG
Molecule: ribosomal RNA, 423 nt
Filed under: uncultured bacterium
Lineage: Bacteria
Description: partial 16S ribosomal RNA
Rfam family: Bacterial small subunit ribosomal RNA
Source: RNAcentral